Molecule: ribosomal RNA, 442 nt
Filed under: uncultured bacterium
Lineage: Bacteria
Description: partial 16S ribosomal RNA
Rfam family: Bacterial small subunit ribosomal RNA
Source: RNAcentral
CCUACGGGUGGCAGCAGUGGGGAAUAUUGGGCAAUGGGCGCAAGCCUGACCCAGCAACGCCGCGUGAAGGAAGAAGGCUUUCGGGUUGUAAACUUCUUUUGUCAGGGAAGAGUAGAAGACGGUACCUGACGAAUAAGCGACGGCUAACUACGUAGCAGCAGCCGCGGUAAUACGUAGGGGGCAGGCGAUAUCCGGAUUUAGUGGGUGUAAAGGGCGUGUAGCCGGGUUGACAAGUCAGAUGUGAAAUCCUGCGGCUUAACCGUAGAACUGCAUUUGAAACUGUUGAUCUUGAGUACUGGAGAGGCAGAUGGAAUUCCUGGUGUAGCGGUGAAAUGCGUAGAUAUUAGGAGGAACACCAGUGGCGAAGGCGGUCUGCUGGACAGCAACUGACGGUGAGGCGCGAAAGCGCGGGGAGCAAACAGGAUUAGAGACCCCAGUAGUC